AAUGGGUCAGCGACUUAUAUUCUGUAGCAAGGUUAACCGAAUAGGGGAGCCGAAGGGAAACCGAGUCUUAACUGGGCGUUAAGUUGCAGGGUAUAGACCCGAAACCCGGUGAUCUAGCCAUGGGCAGGUUGAAGGUUGGGUAACACUAACUGGAGGACCGAACCGACUAAUGUUGAAAAAUUAGCGGAUGACUUGUGGCUGGGGGUGAAAGGCCAAUCAAACCGGGAGAUAGCUGGUUCUCCCCGAAAGCUAUUUAGGUAGCGCCUCGUGAAUUCAUCUCCGGGGGUAGAGCACUGUUUCGGCAAGGGGGUCAUCCCGACUUACCAACCCGAUGCAAACUGCGAAUACCGGAGAAUGUUAUCACGGGAGACACACGGCGGGUGCUAACGUCCGUCGUGAAGAGGGAAACAACCCAGACCGCCAGCUAAGGUCCCAAAGUCAUGGUUAAGUGGGAAACGAUGUGGGAAGGCCAAGACAGCCAGGAUGUUGGCUUAGAAGCAGCCAUCAUUUAAAGAAAGCGUAAUAGCUCACUGGUCGAGUCGGCCUGCGCGGAAGAUGUAACGGGGCUAAACCAUGCACCGAAGCUGCGGCAGCGACGCUUAUGCGUUGUUGGGUAGGGGAGCGUUCUGUAAGCCUGUGAAGGUGUACUGUGAGGUAUGCUGGAGGUAUCAGAAGUGCGAAUGCUGACAUAAGUAACGAUAAAGCGGGUGAAAAGCCCGCUCGCCGGAAGACCAAGGGUUCCUGUCCAACGUUAAUCGGGGCAGGGUGAGUCGACCCCUAAGGCGAGGCCGAAAGGCGUAGUCGAUGGGAAACAGGUUAAUAUUCCUGUACUUGGUGUUACUGCGAAGGGGGGACGGAGAAGGCUAUGUUGGCCGGGCGACGGUUGUCCCGGUUUAAGCGUGUAGGCUGGUUUUCCAGGCAAAUCCGGAAAAUCAAGGCUGAGGCGUGAUGACGAGGCACUACGGUGCUGAAGCAACAAAUGCCCUGCUUCCAGGAAAAGCCUCUAAGCAUCAGGUAACAUCAAAUCGUACCCCAAACCGACACAGGUGGUCAGGUAGAGAAUACCAAGGCGCUUGAGAGAACUCGGGUGAAGGAACUAGGCAAAAUGGUGCCGUAACUUCGGGAGAAGG
Molecule: ribosomal RNA, 1130 nt
Filed under: Escherichia coli
Lineage: Bacteria; Pseudomonadati; Pseudomonadota; Gammaproteobacteria; Enterobacterales; Enterobacteriaceae
Description: partial 23S ribosomal RNA
Rfam family: Bacterial large subunit ribosomal RNA
Source: RNAcentral